UACGAAGGGGGCUAGCGUUGUUCGGAAUUACUGGGCGUAAAGCGUGCGCAGGCGGCUUCUCAAGUCAGGGGUGAAAGCCCAGAGCUCAACUCUGGAAUUGCCUUUGAGACUGAGUGGCUUGAGUACGAGAGAGGUGAGUGGAAUUCCCAGUGUAGCGGUGAAAUGCGCAGAUAUCAGGAAGAACACCCGUGGCUAAGGCGGCUCUCUAGUACGGUACUGACGCUGAGACGCGAAAGCGUGGGGAGCGAACAGG
RNAcentral lists this ribosomal RNA (253 nucleotides) under uncultured bacterium. RNAcentral describes it as "partial 16S ribosomal RNA". It matches the Rfam family "Bacterial small subunit ribosomal RNA", at positions 524 to 776 of the family's 1533-position model. The record is from RNAcentral.